GGCGGGCCUAUCAUGCAAGUCGAGCGCUUCUUUUUCACCGGAGCUUGCUCCACCGGAAAAAGAGGAGUGGCGAACGGGUGAGUAACACGUGGGUAACCUGCCCAUCAGACGGGGAUAACACUUGGAAACAGGUGCUAAUACCGUAUAACAAUCGAAACCGCAUGGUUUUGAUUUGAAAGGCGCUUUCGGGUGUCGCUGAUGGAUGGACCCGCGGUGCAUUGACUAGUUGGUGAGGUAACGGCUCACCAAGGCCACGAUGCAUAGCCGACCUGAGAGGGUGAUCGGCCACAUUGGGACUGAGACACGGCCCAGACUCCUACGGGAGGCAGCUUUAGGGAAUCUUCGGCAAUGGACGAGAGUCUGACCGAGCAGCGCCGCGUGAGUGAAGAAGGUUUUCGGAUCGUAAAACUCUGUUGAUAGAGAAGAACAAGGAUGAGAGUAACUGUUCGUCCCUUGACGGUAUCUAACCAGAAAGCCACGGCUAACUACGUGCGAGCAUCCGUGGUAAUACAUAUGUGGCAAGAGUUGUCCGGAUUUUUUGGGCGUAAAGCGAGUGCUUGGCGUUUUUCUUAAAUCUGAUGUGAAACCCCCCCGGCUCAGCCGGGGAGGGUCAUUGAAAAUUGGGUAGACUUGAGGGCAGAAAAGGACAGUGGACUUCCCAUGUGUGCGGAGAAAUGGGUAGAUAUACGGAGGAAACACCGGGGGCCAGGGCGGUUCUCUGGUCUGUAACUGACGCCGACGCUCCGA
Molecule: ribosomal RNA, 747 nt
Filed under: Enterococcus faecium
Lineage: Bacteria; Bacillati; Bacillota; Bacilli; Lactobacillales; Enterococcaceae
Description: bacterial SSU rRNA
Rfam family: Bacterial small subunit ribosomal RNA
Source: RNAcentral